Molecule: ribosomal RNA, 466 nt
Filed under: uncultured bacterium
Lineage: Bacteria
Description: partial 16S ribosomal RNA
Rfam family: Bacterial small subunit ribosomal RNA
Source: RNAcentral
GACGAACGCUGGCGGCGCGCCUAACACAUGCAAGUCGAACGAGCGAGAGAGAGCUUGCUUUCUUGAGCGAGUGGCGAACGGGUGAGUAACGCGUGAGGAACCUGCCUCAAAGAGGGGGACAACAGUUGGAAACGACUGCUAAUACCGCAUAAGCCCACGACCCGGCAUCGGGUUGAGGGAAAAGGAGCAAUCCGCUUUGAGAUGGCCUCGCGUCCGAUUAGCUAGUUGGUGAGGUAACGGCCCACCAAGGCGACGAUCGGUAGCCGGACUGAGAGGUUGAACGGCCACAUUGGGACUGAGACACGGCCCUGACUCCUACGGGAGGCAGCAGUGGGGAAUAUUGCACAAUGGGGGAAACCCUGAUGCAGCGACGACGCGUGGAGGAAGAAGGUCUUCGGAUUGUAAACUCCUGUUGUUGAGGAAGAUAAUGACGGUACUCAACAAGGAAGUGACGGCUAACUACGUG